RNAcentral lists this ribosomal RNA (253 nucleotides) under uncultured bacterium. Its description in RNAcentral is "partial 16S ribosomal RNA". It matches the Rfam family "Bacterial small subunit ribosomal RNA", at positions 524 to 776 of the family's 1533-position model. The record is from RNAcentral.
UACGUAGGGGGCUAGCGUUGUCCGGAAUCAUUGGGCGUAAAGAGCGUGUAGGCGGUCCGGUAAGUCCGUUGUGAAAGUCAGGGGCUCAACCCUUGAAUGCCGGCGGAUACUGUCGGGCUAGAGUCCGGAAGAGGCGAGUGGAAUUCCCGGUGUAGCGGUGAAAUGCGCAGAUAUCGGGAGGAACACCUAUGGCGAAGGCAGCUCGCUGGGACGGCACUGACGCUGAGACGCGAAAGCGUGGGGAGCAAACAGG